GGAAUGGAAGAAGGACCCCCCCCGCCCCGAAGUUGUCUGCCACCAAAAUGAAAAGAAGCCGUGGGGUCCAAGCUUCUCUUUCCACCUGGUGUCCAUGUGAGCGAGGUCUCCCAGACGUAAAGGAAGAUGGGGACACCGUUCCUGGUGAGCUGUCACGAGAGGAAGCCCGUCCAUCUCGUUCACAGAGGCAUUUCCAACACAACGUCCCCUACAUUGUAUGAGUUUCAGAUGUACAACGUCAUGGUUCGAUACGCGUAUAUGUUGCGAAAUUGUCACCACAGUCCGUCUGGUUCACGUCAUCACCUCAAUUCUACUCCUAGGUACGUACCCCAAAGACCUGAAAACAGGUUUCCAGGCGAACACUUGUACAUGCGUGUUCAUAAGCAGCACAAGUCACAGUAAUCAUACAGGUGGGGACAGCCCAAGUGUCCACUGAUGGAUAAAUGCAACGUGGUCCAUCCACACAGUGGAAUAUUACACAGCCACGAACAGGAGUGAAGCUCUGACACACGCUGUACGUGGAUGGACCUUGAACACAUGAUGCUCAGGGAGAGAACCAGAUACAAAAGGACACACAGUGUGUGAUUGCUUUUAUAGGAAACGUCCAGAACAGGCAAAUCCACAGACAGAAAG
RNAcentral lists this long non-coding RNA (633 nucleotides) under Equus asinus (donkey). RNAcentral describes it as "lncRNA (ENSEASG00005038730.1)". The record is from RNAcentral. Lineage: Eukaryota; Metazoa; Chordata; Mammalia; Perissodactyla; Equidae.